Molecule: long non-coding RNA, 4343 nt
Organism: Lactuca sativa (garden lettuce)
Lineage: Eukaryota; Viridiplantae; Streptophyta; Magnoliopsida; Asterales; Asteraceae
Source: RefSeq, a predicted model, not a curated record
UCAAAUCCAUCAUUAUAAAAAAUUUAAAAUUUUUUAGACCAAGCUUGCAAUAAAAUUCAUAUUUUGGUUGCAAUAAAAUUUGUAUUUUGGACCAUCGGUCAACUCUAAAACUUUUUGGACAAAAUCCCAAUUUUUGACAUUCACGGAACCAAAUUUGCAAUUUUGUCUAAUGCAAAGCGAAGAGGGAUAUACAGACCAAAAAAUCAAAUCCAGUUCUUCACUUCAGGUCCGUGGCUGCGUGCCCUAGCCUCCGUCCGGCGUCCACCCUCGUUCAGUCGUUCAUCUCCUCCAGAAGCACCGGCGACUACUAUCUCCGAUUUUGUAGGUCGCGAAUCAAAUACAUUUGGUCCAUUUCAAACCUUGAUCACCCACGUCAUGGGUUGAAAGAAAAAGAACAAUAGAUCCAGCAAUGAUAAAGCAUCCGGCCCGAAUCAAGCAUCCAACCCGAAUCAAGAAACCAUCUCAAUAUUGUAUGAUGCGCAAAACGGGGAUAAAGCAUCCGUCUCGAAUGAAGAAUCCAACCCAAUGCUUCGUAAUGUAGAACAACCGAAAGAAAAAUCCGACCUUAAAGAUGAAGAUCCCAAGGGUGUUUACUUCAAAAAAGAUAAAAAAUGUGGGGAAAAAUAUUAAAAGAAUUGCAAGUUAUGGGUCCUGUUUUUAACAGAAUACAUGAUCACGACUUCUAUAAAUAAUCCUUGGAGUACAAUGAGCGUAAAAGAAUAUCCAGGCUUCGUUGGGAGAAGUACUCGAAGGAUUUAGAUGAGGUAAGUAGAUAUUUUUAUUGUUUAUUUUUAAAAUUACUUGUUAACAUAUUUUAUUUUAAAUAUAUGAAAGCAAAACUUUCUAGGAGUAGAAAAGAUAAGAAAAAAACACACCAAUCAAAACAAUUGGCCAUCAUUCAAGAUAUUAGGGACUCUACUACAUUUUUUUCUCGAUCAGUUUGUUACAAAUUAUUUACACUAUUGAAUUAUUUUAAAACUUUUGUCUGAUUAAAACUCUAAUUAUUAAAGAUGCUAAUUGUAGAAAUCAUAAGCAAAUAUUUUCUCACACUUUUAACCUGCAUGGACAAAGCGAAUAUUCUGUUUCACGUAUCGUUAAGCUGUUGAUGCUUUCAUCAUCAAUGAGCAAAUGUAAGCUUCAAUUUGUUGAUCAAAAAAUAUUUGUAUCCAAGCAUCUCAUCUGAAAAUCCGAUCCGAAAUUUGGAUAGCAAUUAUAAAAAAAUUCUAUUAACUCCAAUUUUUGUAUGUAGGUAGCUAAUAAUCUAAAGUACAUUGCUAUAAUCAGCUAAAUACAAAAUACAAAAAAUAAUGAGAUACUGCUUAGGUUUUCUGUGGAGGAUAUGUGACAGAAAUUCUGUGUAAAUCGUUUAUAAAUAUAAAAAUUAAAUUAUACUUUUAGCAAGUUUUAGCAACGACUACAAUUUAAUGAAAAACCAAUUCUAGGAAAGUUUUAGCAAUUAUCCAAAAUGCAUGCUAUUAAGUGAAACAUCGACAGUUUUUUAAAAAUAUUUGCAAUUUAGUAUACUAACUGUUCUAGUACAUUAGCUUGUUUAAAAUCAAAUACAUAAAAAAUAAGGGAAUUUACAAAUUGAAAAGGAUGCAAAUCACCACUAACAACAAAUGUUUUUUUUUUUUUUUUUUUUUUUUUUUGUAUAUGAAAAUUGCAUAAAAAGUAAUCAAUCUAGAUGUUUUUUCUUGACAAAAUUCGUAUAAUUUUUUGUUUUCUUUUCUGCAGAUGCUAAACUUUAUGCAAUAAUAAUGCUCAGUUUAAAUAAGCUGCAACUGUUGCAACUAAUAUACUUAUGUAAAAUGAUGAAACUACCCUUCUAUUAUUACUGCUGCUGUAAACUAGUAUCACAUCCUAAAAUAAUUUUUUUUUACAAAAUUAACAGUGUACUUUACAAAUACAAUGCAUAACAUGACAUGCAAAAGUAUAAUGCUAUAACAUGCAAAAUCUACUAUCCGGAAUUUCUCAAGUUUAUACACUAAUGGUAUCUUAUAUGCAACUAUCCACGAUUUUACACUAAUCACAGGCAAGGGAGAUGAUGAUGUCAAAUGUGUCGAUGGUGCUCAUGGGCAGCCGGUGACAAAGCCAGCUGUUGAAGACCUUGUGACAGGUCGUGGAAUUACUCUUAGGAAUCAAGUUACUACUUGUUUUAAAACAAACCCUCCCUUCAUCUGUCUUACCAUCAGUAGUAACUGGAUUCCUAAGAGUAAUUCCACGACCUGUCACGAGGUCUUCAACAGCUGGCUUUAUCAUCGGCCGCCCAUGAGCACCUUUGACACCAUCAUCUCCCUUACCUGUGAUUAGUGUAAAAUCGUGGAUAGUUGCACAUAAGAUACCAUUAGUGUAUAAACUUGAGGAAUUUCGGAUAGUGAAUUUUGCAUGUUAUAGCAUUAUACUUUUGCAUAUCAUGUUAAGUCAUCCUACUUUGAUAAUCUGAUAGCUACUUUAUAAAUAAACUAAUAUCAUAUGAACCAUAUCUAUUUUUAUGCAUUGUAUUUGUAAAGUACACUGUUAAUUUUGUAAAAAAAAAUAUUUUAGGAUGUGAUACUAAUUUACAGCAGCAAUAAUAAUAGAAGGGCAGUUUCAUCAUUUUAUAUAAGUAUAUUAGUUGCAACAGUUGCAGUGUAUUUAAACUGACCAUUAUUAUUGCAUAAAGUUUAGCAUCUGCAGAAAAGAAAACAAAAAAUUAUACGAAUUUUGCCAGGAGAAAACAUCUAGAUUCAUUACUUUUUAUGCCAUUUUCAUAUACAAAAAAAAAUCAUUUGUUGUUAGUGGUGUUUUGCAUCUUUUUCAAUUUGUAAAUUCCCUUAUUUUUUAUGUAUCUGAUUUUAAACAAGUUAAUGUGCUGGAACACUUAGUAUACUAAAUUGCAAAUAUUUUUAAAAAACUGUCGAUGUUUCACUUAAUAGCAUGCAUUUUGGAUAUUUGCUAAAACUUUCCUAUAACUGGUUUUUUAUUAAAUUGUAGUCCUUGCUAAAAGUAUAAUUUAAUUUUUAUAUUUGUAAACAAUUUACACAAAAUUUCUGUCACAUAUCCUCCGCAGAAAACCUAAGCAGGAUCUCAUUAUUUUCUGUAUUUUGUAUUUAACUGAUUAUAGCAAUGUACUUUAGAUUAUCAGCUACCUACAUACAAAAAUUGGAGUUAAUAGAAAUUUUUCGUAAUUGCUAUCCAAAUUUCAGAUCGGAUUUUCAGAUGAGAUGCUCGGAGACAAAUAUUUUUUGAUCAACAAAUAGAAGCUUACAUUUGCUCAUUGAUGAUGAAAGCAUCAACAGCUUAACGAUACGUGAAGCAGAAUAUUCGCUUUGUCCAUGCAGGUUAAAAGUGUGAGAAGAUAUUUGCUUAUGAUUUCUGCAAUUAGCAUCUUUAAUAAUUAGAGUUUUAAUCUGGCAAAAGUUUUAAAAAUAAUUCAAUAGUGUAAAUAAUUUGAAACAAACUGAUCGAGAAAAAUUGUAGUAGAAUCCCUCAUAUCUUGAAUGAUGCCAAUUGUUUUGAUCGGUGUGCUUUUUUCUUAUCUUUUCUACUCAUAGAAAGUUUUGUCUGCAUAUAUUUAAAAUAAAAUAUGUUAACAAGUAAUUUAAAAAAAACAAUAAAAAUAUCUACUUCAUCUAAAUCCUUUGAGUACUUCUCCCAACGAAGUCUGGAUAUUAUUUUAUGCUUAUUGUACUCCACGGAUUAAUUAUGGGGGUCGUGAUCAUGUAUUCUGCUAAAAAUAGGACCCAUAACUUGCAAAUCUUUUAAUCUUUUUUCCCACAUUUCUUUAUUUUUCUUAAAGUAAACACCAAUGGGAUCUUCAUCUUUAAGGUUAGAUUUUUCUUUCGGUUGUUCCAUUAGUGUAUAAACUUGAGAAAUUUCGGAUAGUGGAUUUUUCAUGUUAUAGCAUUAUACUUUUGCAUGUAAUGUUAAGCCAUCCUACUUUGAUACUCUGAUAGCUACUUUAUAAUUAAACUCAAUUACAAAUAUCUUAUGUGUAGCUAUUCACAAUUUUACACUAAUCACAGAUAAGGAGAUGGUGUCGAUGGUGCUCGUGACAGGUCGUGGAAUUACUCUUGGGAAUCCAGUUACUACUGAUGGUAAGACGAACAACGAACAGGGGGAGGGUUUGUUUUCAAUUCAAUGAAACUUAGAGGGAUUUUACCUUUGAAGAUUGAAUGGUGUGCACCGGAUAGCUAUUUUUGGGGUUGAGGGGAAUUUUAUUCGGAAGAUUUGACAUUAUAUUUUAGGGAAAACAUACUUGAAAAAAUUUGUUUCUCACACGUGAUCAACAUCAUUGUCCACUGAUACUUCAUCUACUCAUGUCUACUCUUUAUAGAACAACACAAUUCAUAUAUAUUUCUUUA